UCUGCCAAAAGUUUAUAUAUAAGUUACUAUUUCUGAAACUUGCUAAGCAUUAGAUGUUAUAAGACACAACAAUUUAAAAUCACUUAUAUUGAACUUCAUAACUUCUAUCAUCGUUGCACAAAAAAGUUCGAACAUACUUUCAAGGACUGUAUUCACCAAAAAGACUUUGUUCGCCAGGAGAAAAUGAUUUACCGAAAGAACUUGGUUUGCUAGAGCUUGGCAGAAAGGGUAUCAUGAUAAAAAGGAUAUGCAGUGACCUGUAAGUACGGUAAAAAAAUUAAUUAUCACUAACAAUAUAUUAUAUGUAUUGAUAUAAAUUAGUUUUUAUCACCUCAACAGUAGUUUCAUCAACUAUUCCUUUCACUACUCCCUCAACUGUUGCACCAGGAAUGUUAGAAAUAAUAAGGUUUAAGUUCCUAGUAAUUUUUCCCGUUUUA
This 437-nucleotide long non-coding RNA is filed under the name Arabidopsis lyrata. RNAcentral's name for it is "long non-coding RNA (ALYR_LNC001430)". The record is from RNAcentral. Lineage: Eukaryota; Viridiplantae; Streptophyta; Magnoliopsida; Brassicales; Brassicaceae.